RNAcentral lists this ribosomal RNA (301 nucleotides) under uncultured bacterium. RNAcentral describes it as "partial 16S ribosomal RNA". It matches the Rfam family "Bacterial small subunit ribosomal RNA", at positions 509 to 808 of the family's 1533-position model. The record is from RNAcentral.
CAGUAGCCACGGUAUCCGUAGGUGGCGAGCGUCGUCCGGAUUCAUUGGGCGUAAAGGGAGUGUAGGCGGUCUUUUAAGUCUGAUGUGAAAGCCCACGGCUCAACCGUGGAGGGUCAUUGGAAACUGGGAGACUUGAGUGCAGAAGAGGAGAGCGGAAUUCCAUGUGUAGCGGUGAAAUGCGUAGAUAUAUGGAGGAACACCAGUGGCGAAGGCGGCUCUCUGGUCUGUAACUGACGCUGAGGCUCGAAAGCGUGGGGAGCAAACAGGAUUAGAUACCCGCGUAGUCCCUGUCUCUUAUACA